CCUACGGGAGGCAGCAGUAGGGAAUAUUGCUCAAUGGGUGAAACCCUGAAGCAGCAACGCCGCGUGGAGGAUGAAGGUUUUCGGAUCGUAAACUCCUUUUGUCAGAGAAGAUAAUGACGGUAUCUAACGAAUAAGCACCGGCUAACUCCGUGCCAGCAGCCGCGGUAAUACGGAGGGUGCAAGCGUUACUCGGAAUCACUGGGCGUAAAGAGCGCGUAGGCGGGAUAGCAAGUCAGAUGUGAAAUCCUAUGGCUUAACCAUAGAACUGCAUUUGAAACUGUUAUUCUAGAGUAUGGGAGAGGUAGGUGGAAUUCUUGGUGUAGGGGUAAAAUCCGUAGAGAUCAAGAGGAAUACUCAUUGCGAAGGCGACCUGCUAGAACAUAACUGACGCUGAUGCGCGAAAGCGUGGGGAGCAAACAGGAUUAGAUACCCCAGUAGUC
This 440-nucleotide ribosomal RNA is filed under the name uncultured bacterium. Its description in RNAcentral is "partial 16S ribosomal RNA". It matches the Rfam family "Bacterial small subunit ribosomal RNA", at positions 338 to 795 of the family's 1533-position model. The record is from RNAcentral.